This is a long non-coding RNA of Felis catus (domestic cat), 523 nucleotides long. RefSeq lists it as uncharacterized. The transcript has 3 exons. The record is from RefSeq and is a predicted model, not a curated record. Lineage: Eukaryota; Metazoa; Chordata; Mammalia; Carnivora; Felidae.
CGAAGUCUGCCACUCAACCGACUGAGCCACCCAGGCGCCCCUAGAAUGUUUUGGUCAUCACUGUAUCUUCAGUGUAUCCUACUGUCUAGCAGCAUUGUCCAAUAGAACUCUUUGUAGUGAUGGAAAUGUUCUAUAAUCUACAUUGUCUAAAUGGUAGCUGCUAGCUACAGACAAGUGGUUGCAGCCAAAGCCCAGCAAGCUUUAUGGCCAAGCCCACAUAUCAUAUAAAAAGAACCAGCUGGAUCCUUCUGUAGCAGCCUCAUGGACCACACUCGGGGAUCCACUCUCUUCUCUACUCCCAAAGCUUGGUGUGGCCACUGCAGGCUCUGACCUCUGACAAUGUGUGCUUGAGCCACGUCAUUCUUCUUUCCCUUCUUCCUCAGGCCGCAAAUGUUGGCAGACUGGCCAGUAGCAGGUGGGGUAUAAUCUGGCUUGAGAGAGAAAAAUAUUCCAAUUCUGCUGACUCUACCCUCUAGUUUUGUGUUACUGUGUCUCCCAGUGGUGGUACUGGUAGUAAUGAUGA